CCGGCCUCGGGCGAGGCACCCCGGAGGCGGAGGGUAAGGAGCCCUGCGAGGCCACAGAUCUUGGACACCUGGAUGGAGGAUCUCCAGUCUUGGCUCCAGCGUCUUAGAGUGAUGCUUGCACAGGGCACAACCACUGGCACAAGACCAUGGAAUCCUUCUUGUUCCCUGCAUACAGAGGUAUGUGU
Myotis davidii is the source of this 185-nucleotide long non-coding RNA. RefSeq lists it as uncharacterized. The transcript is spliced from 3 exons. NCBI's taxonomy places the organism in Eukaryota, Metazoa, Chordata, Mammalia, Chiroptera, Vespertilionidae. The record is from RefSeq and is a predicted model, not a curated record.